GACGAACGCUGGCGGCGUGCCUAAUACAUGCAAGUCGAGCGAAGUUUUUCUGGUGCUUGCACUAGAAAAACUUAGCGGCGAACGGGUGAGUAACACGUAAAGAACCUGCCUCAUAGACUGGGACAACUAUUGGAAACGAUAGCUAAUACCGGAUAACAGUAUUUCUCGCAUGAGAGAUAUUUAAAAGUUGGUUAUGCUAACACUAUGAGAUGGCUUUGCGGUGCAAUAGCUAGUUGGUGGGGUAAAGGCCCACCAAGGCGACGAUGCAUAGCCGACCUGAGAGGGUAAUCGGCCACACUGGGACUGAGACACGGCCCAGACUCCUACGGGAGGCAGCAGUAGGGAAUCUUCCGCAAUGGGCGAAAGCCUGACGGAGCAACGCCGCGUGAGUGAAGAAGGAUUUCGGUUCGUAAAGCUCUGUUGUUAGGGAAGAAUGGAUAUGUAGUAACUAUACAUGUAAGAGACGGUACCUAACCAGAAAGCCACGGCUAACUACGUG
Molecule: ribosomal RNA, 499 nt
Filed under: uncultured bacterium
Lineage: Bacteria
Description: partial 16S ribosomal RNA
Rfam family: Bacterial small subunit ribosomal RNA
Source: RNAcentral